UAUAAUCAAGAUGUUAGAAAAUAUUAGAAUCAAGGUUAUGAAUAGGUUGCAAAAACUUGAAGAAGAGGGUAGAAAUUGGAAUGGAGAAUUUAGUCCAUAUGCCAUGGAGUUGUAUAAUGAUUUCAAUAUCAUUGCACAAUGUUGUCAAGUUCAAUCUAAUGGAGACCAAGGAUAUGAGGUAGUUGAGUGCGAAGAUAGACAUGUGGUAAUCUUAAUAGGAAGAAGUGUACAUGUAGGACAUGAGCCUUGACUGGUAUACCAUGUCCUCAUGCCAUUAAAGCAUAUCUUUACGACAAUCAAGAGCUACUAGAUCAAUUGAGUUGAUGGUAUUCCAGAGAAGCUUACAUGUUGAUAUACAUGCAUAAAAUACAACCUGUUAGAGGUGACAAGUUUUGGAAAGUUGAUCCUUCUCAUGCUAUGGAGCCACCAAAAAUACAUAAAUUGGUAGGUAGGCCAAAACUUAAGAGAAA
Molecule: non-coding RNA, 470 nt
Organism: Solanum lycopersicum (tomato)
Lineage: Eukaryota; Viridiplantae; Streptophyta; Magnoliopsida; Solanales; Solanaceae
Source: RefSeq, a predicted model, not a curated record